GGGGCCGUAGCUCAGCUGGAAGAGCGCGUCGUUCGCAAUGACGAGGUCGGCAGUUCGAAUCUGCUCGGCUCCACCA
Molecule: transfer RNA, 76 nt
Filed under: Opitutia bacterium
Lineage: Bacteria; Pseudomonadati; Verrucomicrobiota; Opitutia
Description: tRNA-Ala
Rfam family: tRNA
About the family: Transfer RNA (tRNA) molecules are approximately 80 nucleotides in length. Their secondary structure includes four short double-helical elements and three loops (D, anti-codon, and T loops).
Source: RNAcentral